RNAcentral lists this ribosomal RNA (485 nucleotides) under Nannocharax maculicauda. RNAcentral's name for it is "partial 12S ribosomal RNA". It matches the Rfam family "Bacterial small subunit ribosomal RNA", at positions 847 to 1533 of the family's 1533-position model. The record is from RNAcentral. Lineage: Eukaryota; Metazoa; Chordata; Actinopteri; Characiformes; Distichodontidae.
UUAAAUUACAAUCACCAUCCGCCAGGGUACUACGAGCAUCAGCUUAAAACCCAAAGGACUUGGCGGUGCUUCAGACCCACCUAGAGGAGCCUGUUCUAGAACCGAUAAUCCCCGUUUAACCUCACCACCCCUAGCCUUCCCCGCCUAUAUACCGCCGUCGUCAGCUUACCCCGUGAGGGUCAAAUAGUGAGCACAAAGAGCCAACCUCAAAACGUCAGGUCGAGGUGUAGCGAAUGAGGUGGAAAGAAAUGGGCUACAUUUUCUAUAAUAGAAUACUACGGACAGCAAACUGAAAAAAGUGCUUUAAGGUGGAUUUAGCAGUAAAAAGAAAAUAGAGAGUCCUUUUGAAUUAGGCUCUGAAGCGCGCACACACCGCCCGUCACCCUCCCCUUCAACACAACAUUAAGUAAUUAACACUAAAAACAAAAAUAAGGGGAGGCAAGUCGUAACAUGGUAAGUGUACCGGAAGGUGCACUUGGAAAAAU